CUAGUCUAUUCUCACAUCAUAUCCACAUGCAUAUGUCCACUAGCAACUCAUGCUAUAUGUAUACAUACAUCUAUAUUGGCAUCAUAUAAAGGUUCUCAUGCAACAUACAUAUCCAUAUCUAUCUCAACAUCAUGCAAAUAGAUAUUCCUACAAGUAUCAUGCAAUCAUGGAUCAUCAUCCCUCACACUAAGCAUGAAAUUACCACAACUCAUAGGAUUCUCACUAUUCUACACAUGAUGAUAUAUGAUCAAAAAAAUAGUAGAACUUAGACAUAGAAUGAAACCCGGCUAUUUCGGAUAGCACCCCCCCACCUUGUGGCGUCGACACAAAGCGGGUAGCCUAGUAGCGCGAUUUACGGCCGUCGAUUCCUUCCGAUCCAAACCCAAGCUCUCUUCAAGCCAAUGGUAAGGAAGAGCAAAGCUCCACCUCCAAGUAAGCUUCUUCCACCAAAUCUCCACUUUUGGAGUAACACUCUAGGAGCUAGGAGAGAGAGAGGUUUAGAGAGGGAAAGAGAAGGCUUCUCUUUUUGGGUUAAGGGGUGGAAAAUGAGAGAAAAGGUCCAAGUCCUCAUAUCAUGUUUAUAUAUACAUAGGAAACUUAGCCUCCAAGUUAGGAAACUUAGCCUCCAAGUUAGCCCAUUACUUAGCCAUAGAAAACUUGACCCCCAAGUAAACUCUUUACUUAUGCAUAGGAAACUUAACCCCCAAGUAAGCACCUCAUUUGCACAUAGAAAACUUCUUUAAGUCCAAUAAAAAUAGUAUUUUACACUAUUUUUAUUUACUCUUACUUCUAUGUUAAAAUUCGGUACACUACACCGGUCCCGCGCAGGGAGAGACCGGUUCCCGAACGUUGGUUCUCCGGGUUCGCAGCGAGAGACCGGUCCCUGCUGGGGAGAGACCGGUCCCUCUGGGCGAAAACUGCCCAGUUCGGGCUGAUGCAAUUUUGGAUUUUUGAGGGACCUAGCUGGAUUUUGUUACAAUAGAGGGUCUAUAUGACCCAUCCCCUCUCUCUUCUUCUCAUUUCCCUCCUCACACUCUCCCCACACCCUCGUUAGAGAGAGGAGAAAGAGAAGAAGAAGGAGGAGAAGAAGAAGAAGGAGAAGGUUUUGGUGGACUUGGAGCAUUUCUUUGCCUCUUUUCCUCUUCCCACCUUGUUGGUGCUUGAAGGCUUGCACUUGGAGCUUGCCAAGAGGAGAUCUUCACCCUUUGAGCUUGGA
RNAcentral lists this long non-coding RNA (1216 nucleotides) under Ananas comosus (pineapple). RNAcentral's name for it is "long non-coding RNA (ACOM_LNC040157)". Lineage: Eukaryota; Viridiplantae; Streptophyta; Magnoliopsida; Poales; Bromeliaceae. The record is from RNAcentral.